UGAAGGAUGAAGGCGUUCUGCGUUGUAAACUUCUUUUAUCAGGGAAGACACCUCAGUAUUCUUACUGAGCCGACGGUACCUGAUGAAUAAGCACCGGCUAACUCCGUGCCAGCAGCCGCGGUAAUACGGAGGGUGCAAGCGUUAUCCGGAUUCACUGGGUUUAAAGGGUGUGUAGGCGGACUGUUAAGUCAGUGGUGAAAUCUUCGAGCUUAACUCGGAAACUGCCGUUGAUACUAUCAGUCUUGAAUUCUGUUGAGGUGGGCGGAAUACAUCAUGUAGCGGUGAAAUGCUUAGAUAUGAUGUAGAACACCGAUUGCGAAGGCAGCUCACUGAACAGCGAUUGACGCUGAGGCACGAAAGCGUGGGGAUCAAACAGGAUUAGAUACCCUGGUAGUCCACGCCCUAAACGA
This 410-nucleotide ribosomal RNA is filed under the name uncultured bacterium. Its description in RNAcentral is "bacterial SSU rRNA". It matches the Rfam family "Bacterial small subunit ribosomal RNA", at positions 402 to 809 of the family's 1533-position model. The record is from RNAcentral.